Molecule: ribosomal RNA, 535 nt
Filed under: uncultured bacterium
Lineage: Bacteria
Description: bacterial SSU rRNA
Rfam family: Bacterial small subunit ribosomal RNA
Source: RNAcentral
AAUAGAUACCCGGGUAGUCCACGCCGUAAACGUUGGGUACUAGGUGUGGCGUCCCGAUCAACGGAUGCCGUGCCGAAGCUAACGCAUUAAGUACCCCGCCUGGGGAGUACGGCCGCAAGGCUAAAACUCAAAGGAAUUGACGGGUCCCCGCACAAGCGGCGGAGCAUGCGGCUUAAUUCGAUGCAACCCGAGGAACCUUACCUGGACUUGACAUCAUGGGAAAAGCCGUAGAAAUACGGUGUCCGUAAGGGUCCAUGACAGGUGGUGCAUGGCUGUCGUCAGCUCGUGUCGUGAGAUGUUGGGUUAAGUCCCGCAACGAGCGCAACCCUUGUCCUAUGUUGCCAGCGCGUAAUGGCGGGGACUCAUAGGAGACUGCCGGGGACAACUCGGAGGAAGGUGAGGACGACGUCAAGUCAUCAUGCCCCUUAUGUCCAGGGCUGCACGCAUGCUACAAUGGCCGGUACAACAGGCAGCGAACUCGCGAGGGUGAGCGAAUCCUCAAAAGCCGGCCUCAGUUCGGAUUGGGAGUCUGCAA